GAUGAACGCUAGCUACAGGCUUAACACAUGCAAGUCGAGGGGCAGCAUGGUCUUAGCUUGCUAAGGCCGAUGGCGACCGGCGCACGGGUGAGUAACACGUAUCCAACCUGCCGUCUACUCUUGGACAGCCUUCUGAAAGGAAGAUUAAUACAAGAUGGCAUCAUGAGUCCGCAUGUUCACAUGAUUAAAGGUAUUCCGGUAGACGAUGGGGAUGCGUUCCAUUAGAUAGUAGGCGGGGUAACGGCCCACCUAGUCUUCGAUGGAUAGGGGUUCUGAGAGGAAGGUCCCCCACAUUGGAACUGAGACACGGUCCAAACUCCUACGGGAGGCAGCAGUGAGGAAUAUUGGUCAAUGGGCGAGAGCCUGAACCAGCCAAGUAGCGUGAAGGAUGACUGCCCUAUGGGUUGUAAACUUCUUUUAUAAAGGAAUAAAGUCGGGUAUGGAUACCCGUUUGCAUGUACUUUAUGAAUAAGGAUCGGCUAACUCCGUGCCAGCAGCCGCGGUAAUACGGAGGAUCCGAGCGUUAUCCGGAUUUAUUGGGUUUAAAGGGAGCGUAGAUGGAUGUUUAAGUCAGUUGUGAAAGUUUGCGGCUCAACCGUAAAAUUGCAGUUGAUACUGGAUAUCUUGAGUGCAGUUGAGGCAGGCGGAAUUCGUGGUGUAGCGGUGAAAUGCUUAGAUAUCACGAAGAACUCCGAUUGCGAAGGCAGCCUGCUAAGCUGCAACUGACAUUGAGGC
Molecule: ribosomal RNA, 735 nt
Filed under: uncultured Bacteroidales bacterium
Lineage: Bacteria; Pseudomonadati; Bacteroidota; Bacteroidia; Bacteroidales
Description: bacterial SSU rRNA
Rfam family: Bacterial small subunit ribosomal RNA
Source: RNAcentral